UGACCUGCGGAGGGUCAUUACACAAAUAUGAAGGCGGGCUGGAACCUCUCGGGGUUACAGCCUUGCUGAAUUAUUCACCCUUGUCUUUUGCGUACUUCUUGUUUCCUUGGUGGGUUCGCCCACCACUAGGACAAACAUAAACCUUUUGUAAUUGCAAUCAGCGUCAGUAACAAAUUAAUAAUUACAACUUUCAACAACGGAUCUCUUGGUUCUGGCAUCGAUGAAGAACGCAGCGAAAUGCGAUAAGUAGUGUGAAUUGCAGAAUUCAGUGAAUCAUCGAAUCUUUGAACGCACAUUGCGCCCUUUGGUAUUCCAAAGGGCAUGCCUGUUCGAGCGUCAUUUGUACCCUCAAGCUUUGCUUGGUGUUGGGCGUCUUGUCUCUAGCUUUGCUGGAGACUCGCCUUAAAGUAAUUGGCAGCCGGCCUACUGGUUUCGGAGCGCAGCACAAGUCGCACUCUCUAUCAGCAAAGGUCUAGCAUCCAUUAAGCCUUUUUUUCAACUUUUGACCUCGGAUCAGGUAGGGAUACCCGCUGAACUUAAGCAUAUCAAUAAGCGGAGGAAAAGAAACCAACAGGGAUUGCCCUAGUAACGGCGAGUGAAGCGGCAACAGCUCAAAUUU
Molecule: ribosomal RNA, 619 nt
Filed under: fungal endophyte
Lineage: Eukaryota; Fungi
Description: eukaryotic LSU rRNA
Rfam family: 5.8S ribosomal RNA (bases 186-339)
Source: RNAcentral